Long non-coding RNA from Pseudopipra pipra, 618 nucleotides. RefSeq lists it as uncharacterized. The transcript has 3 exons. The record is from RefSeq and is a predicted model, not a curated record. Lineage: Eukaryota; Metazoa; Chordata; Aves; Passeriformes; Pipridae.
AGUGUGCCAACCUGCCAGGGGUGGAGAUGCUGCGCUCCAACGCAGAGGGAGCGUCCCUGAAAGGCUGCAACUCUGAGGACCCAUCAGGCCUUAAAGCUAAUCUGGAAGGUGCCAACCUGAAAGGAGUGGCCAUGGAGGGCAGUCAGAUGACAGGAAUUAACCUCUGAGUUGCAACUCUGAGAAACGCCAAACUAAAGAACUGUAACCUCAGGGUUGCAACGUUGGCAGGAACUGAUUUGGAAAAUUGUGACCUAUCAGGUUGUGACCUCCAGGAAGCCAAUUUGAGGGGCUCUGAUGUGAAAGGAGCCAUCUUUGAAGAGAUGCUGACCCCCCUGCACAUGUCCCAGAGCAACAGAUAGGGAAGGGAAGACGUCAAAGAGGAAGGAAUCCAAACAUUUGUUGUGACUUUCUUCACCUCCUCCCCUUCCUGAGUUAGAAGUAAUGGUUAUUAGACAACUUCCAUUUGCAGUAGUGCCCAAGUAGACUCUUUCUGAUCACUUUUGGGGAGGGAAUUUUUGUUUCAGAGGUGGAAAGAGAGAGUUUCUCCCUUUGUGAAGAGAGUGAGGAAGUGGGCUGGUUGUGAAACCAGAAAGUGGGGCUGGUUUGGGGGGGAGGAUU